This 248-nucleotide ribosomal RNA is filed under the name uncultured bacterium. RNAcentral describes it as "partial 16S ribosomal RNA". It matches the Rfam family "Bacterial small subunit ribosomal RNA", at positions 107 to 353 of the family's 1533-position model. The record is from RNAcentral.
UGAGUAACACGUAUCCAACCUGCCGUCUACUCUUGGACAGCCUUCUGAAAGGAAGAUUAAUACAAGAUGGCAUCAUGAGUCCGCAUGUUCACAUGAUUAAAGGUAUUCCGGUAGACGAUGGGGAUGCGUUCCAUUAGAUAGUAGGCGGGGUAACGGCCCACCUAGUCUUCGAUGGAUAGGGGUUCUGAGAGGAAGGUCCCCCACAUUGGAACUGAGACACGGUCCAAACUCCUACGGGAGGCAGCAUG